UUCCUUGUCGGGUAAGUUCCGACCUGCACGAAUGGCGUAAUGAUGGCCAGGCUGUCUCCACCCGAGACUCAGUGAAAUUGAACUCGCUGUGAAGAUGCAGUGUACCCGCGGCAAGACGGAAAGACCCCGUGAACCUUUACUAUAGCUUGACACUGAACAUUGAGCCUUGAUGUGUAGGAUAGGUGGGAGGCUUAGAAGUGUGGACGCCAGUCUGCAUGGAGCCGACCUUGAAAUACCACCCUUUAAUGUUUGAUGUUCUAACGUUGACCCGUAAUCCGGGUUGCGGACAGUGUCUGGUGGGUAGUUUGACUGGGGCGGUCUCCUCCUAAAGAGUAACGGAGGAGCACGAAGGUUGGCUAAUCCUGGUCGGACAUCAGGAGGUUAGUGCAAUGGCAUAAGCCAGCUUGACUGCGAGCGUGACGGCGCGAGCAGGUGCGAAAGCAGGUCAUAGUGAUCCGGUGGUUCUGAAUGGAAGGGCCAUCGCUCAACGGAUAAAAGGUACUCCGGGGAUAACAGGCUGAUACCGCCCAAGAGUUCAUAUCGACGGCGGUGUUUGGCACCUCGAUGUCGGCUCAUCACAUCCUGGGGCUGAAGUAGGUCCCAAGGGUAUGGCUGUUCGCCAUUUAAAGUGGUACGCGAGCUGGGUUUAGAACGUCGUGAGACAGUUCGGUCCCUAUCUGCCGUGGGCGCUGGAGAACUGAGGGGGGCUGCUCCUAGUACGAGAGGACCGGAGUGGACGCAUCACUGGUGUUCGGGUUGUCAUGCCAAUGGCACUGCCCGGUAGCUAAAUGCGGAAGAGAUAAGUGCUGAAAGCAUCUAAGCACGAAACUUGCC
Molecule: ribosomal RNA, 834 nt
Filed under: Escherichia coli
Lineage: Bacteria; Pseudomonadati; Pseudomonadota; Gammaproteobacteria; Enterobacterales; Enterobacteriaceae
Description: bacterial LSU rRNA
Rfam family: Bacterial large subunit ribosomal RNA
Source: RNAcentral